Molecule: ribosomal RNA, 504 nt
Filed under: Chelonibia patula
Lineage: Eukaryota; Metazoa; Arthropoda; Thecostraca; Balanomorpha; Chelonibiidae
Description: partial 16S ribosomal RNA
Rfam family: Bacterial large subunit ribosomal RNA
Source: RNAcentral
UGAGAUUUAAAGAGCCGCAGUAUCCUGACUGUGCUAAGGUAGCAUAAUCAUUAGUCUUUUAAUUGGAGACUGGUAUGAAUGGUUAAACGAGAAAUCAACUUUUUUUGUUGUAAAGCUUGAAUUUAACUUUUUAGUGAAAAGGCUAAAAUUUUUCAAAAAGACGAGAAGACCCUAUAGAGUUUUAUAAUCAAGGGAAUAUUUCUUUCUUAGAUUUUUAUGAGAGGUAUUUACUGUAGUUAUUUUGUUGGGGCGACAUUUAGAUAUAAAAAACUCUUUAUUUUUAAAACUUUUAUGAAAGGUAAAUUGAUCCUUUAAAAAAGAUCAUAAGAAAAAAUUACCUUAGGGAUAACAGCGUAAUCUUUUUUGAGAGUUCUAAUCGACAAAAGGGUUUGCGACCUCGAUGUUGGACUAAAAUUAAGGCAGGGUGCAGCAGUUCUGCUAUAAGGUCUGUUCGACCUAUAAUUUUUUACACGAUCUGAGUUCAGACCGGCGUAAGCCAGGUUG